RNAcentral lists this ribosomal RNA (693 nucleotides) under uncultured bacterium. RNAcentral's name for it is "bacterial SSU rRNA". It matches the Rfam family "Bacterial small subunit ribosomal RNA", at positions 94 to 803 of the family's 1533-position model. The record is from RNAcentral.
ACCGGCGCACGGGUGCGUAACGCGUAUAGACCUACCUUUUACAGAGGAAUAGCCUUUAGAAAUGAAGAUUAAUGCCUCAUGGUCUGGCAUCAGUAAAGAUUUAUCGGUAAAAGAUGGCUAUGCGUCCUAUUAGUUAGUUGGUAAGGUAACGGCUUACCAAGACAGCGAUAGGUAGGGGUCCUGAGAGGGAGAUCCCCCACACUGGUACUGAGACACGGACCAGACUCCUACGGGAGGCAGCAGUGAGGAAUAUUGGACAAUGGAGGAGACUCUGAUCCAGCCAUGCCGCGUGUAGGAAGAAUGCCUAUGGGUUGUAAACUACUUUUAUACAGGAAGAAACACUGGUAUGUAUACCAGCUUGACGGUACUGUAAGAAUAAGGACCGGCUAACUCCGUGCCAGCAGCCGCGGUAAUACGGAGGGUCCGAGCGUUAUCCGGAAUCAUUGGGUUUAAAGGGUCCGCAGGCGGUCGAUUAAGUCAGAGGUGAAAUCCCAUAGCUCAACUAUGGAACUGCCUUUGAUACUGGUUGACUUGAGUCAUAUGGAAGUAGAUAGAAUGUGUAGUGUAGCGGUGAAAUGCAUAGAUAUUACACAGAAUACCGAUUGCGAAGGCAGUCUACUACGUAUGUACUGACGCUGAGGGACGAAAGCGUGGGGAGCGAACAGGAUUAGAUACCCUGGUAGUCCACGCCGA